GCUUUUCUUCAUUCGUAAAUACAAACUGCUGCAAGUUUCUUAUAUUGCAUUGUUCAUACAUACAUUACGUGUGUUUGUGUAUUGAGUGUGUGUAUUGUUUGGGGCCUGAACCAACAUUUGGUAUCAGAGCCUAGGGCUCGUAAAGACAGAGAAAGACGGUUUGAGAGUCGGUUUCGAGAAAGGGUGUAGCCCUUGGCUGUGGGGAAAACGCAACAGGAAGAAACCGAGUUUCGGUAGUUAUUCUUCGCAGCCUAUUUUCGGGUUUUCAAAACAGGGUAUUUGCGGGUGUUUUGGGACAGCAGGGGGGCUGUUUCGGUGUCGUUUUACAGCAGAAGACGGAGGCGUUAUGGUGUUUUCGGUAGGCCGUUGUUGUGGUAGACGUACCGGUUAAGCCGACGGGGGUGACCGGUGAUAAACACUUGUGUUCCGUGGCUAUUAGUAGUGAUCAAAAGAAGGUUCAAGGCUGUUCGGAUGUUAGUUGCGGGUUUGCGCAAGCUGUUAUACAAGGGUGACAACAGCAGAAUGUUUUGCGGAAGCCUUGAUCGGAUUGUUCGUGAUAAGAGGAGACCGGUGUAGUGCGUGAAAAGCGGGAAGAAUGGAUCCGUCAAAGCAGGCGGCUUUGGAUUCGUCUCGUUUGGCAAGGUGAGAAAACGGAAGAAGCGGGUGGCUUGUUUUCUUUGUCGGUGGAUAGUCUCUUGAACAAGGUGAUCGGAAAAAGGUUGUAGAAAAAAAGGGAGAACACGGUGGUGACAUUAUGGCGUUGGAGUUCACUCGGGUGGCUUUGGAUGUGACCGGGGAAGGUUGUUGAUCCGUGAUAAGUCGUGAUGUUAAUGAACGGUGUUCCAACGUUAUGCCAUGUUACAUGUUACGGGCGUGGUGUUUCUUAUUCGGGUUGAACCGAGACACUGGACGUGAUCGAGGUGAAAAUCGGGUGUCCGUUAGAUGUCAUAGUGGUUCGAAACCGAGGUGAUUCGGUGCUGCGGUGACGGGUGUAAACAAACCGAUUAAGGGGGUGAAUGUUGGGUUAAUCGGUUCAGUUUACGGGUCAUUGGUUCGGCACAUUAUCGGGUCACGGUUCGAAUGGUUAUUUGUUUACGGGUAACGCGAGUCGUACGUAGGUCGCGGGUUCAAUUCGGGUCAGAUGGUUACGGGUCAAGCGUGCAAGUUGUUUACUAGUAGUAAAUGGGUCAAGUAAAUCCAUGGGUUUGAUCUAAUUAGUUUCUUGACGUUUGAUUUAGAAGAGUGGGUAGAAAGAUUUGACCACUUCUUAUGGUGGUGCACGUUGGAAGAUAGGGUCGUUAGUCCUUACCGGUUUUUUAGUAAAUAUUAGUAUUUUAUUAUUCCCCCACGUUGUUGAUUUGUAAGGCUAUUAAUAGUUGAUUUGUUUAAUGAAUUAUGAGCAGCUUUUCUUCAUUCGUAAAUACAAACUGCCUCAAGUUUGACUGUGAAGUGUUCUCGGGUCUCGCAUUUGGGUAUUCGGGUUAG
RNAcentral lists this long non-coding RNA (1485 nucleotides) under Helianthus annuus (common sunflower). RNAcentral's name for it is "hypothetical non coding rna". The record is from RNAcentral. Lineage: Eukaryota; Viridiplantae; Streptophyta; Magnoliopsida; Asterales; Asteraceae.